RNAcentral lists this ribosomal RNA (502 nucleotides) under uncultured bacterium. RNAcentral's name for it is "partial 16S ribosomal RNA". It matches the Rfam family "Bacterial small subunit ribosomal RNA", at positions 29 to 507 of the family's 1533-position model. The record is from RNAcentral.
ACGAACGCUGGCGGCGUGCCUAACACAUGCAAGUCGCACGAGAAAGGGGCUUCGGCUCCGAGUAAAGUGGCGCACGGGUGAGUAACACGUGGGUAACCUGCCUCUAAGAUUGGGAUAACUCGUCGAAAGAUGAGCUAAUACCGAAUAAGACCACAGUUCCCGCGGGAACAGGGGUCAAAGGUAGCCUCUGCUUGCAAGCUAUCACUUAGAGAUGGGCCUGCGCACCAUUAGCUAGUUGGUAGGGUAACGGCCUACCAAGGCAAAGAUGGUUAGCUGGUCUGAGAGGAUGAUCAGCCACACUGGAACUGAGACACGGUCCAGACUCCUACGGGAGGCAGCAGUGGGGAAUAUUGCGCAAUGGGCGAAAGCUUGACGCAGCAACGCCGCGUGAGUGAUGAAGGCCUUCGGGUCGUAAAGCUCUGUCGGGAGGAACGAAUGCUCCUGAGGUUAACAGCCUCGGGAGGUGACGGUACCUUCAAAGGAAGCACCGGCUAACUCUGUG